GUUCAAGAUCUGAUUUAUUCCCCUGGAUUAACAAGCUGGCGGUCCGCCUGGUGUUACGGGAGCAUAAGACACGCAGUAAAGAGAUGUCGUUGGAUUUGCAAUGCGGUGGUGUUGUCGGAAGUCCCUUCGUGGAGGCCCGAAAAGGAACGCUUACCUGCCACAAGCUGCUUUCGUUGGGCGCCCUCGGCCAGUCCCAAGGAGAAGGUCUCACAUCUGCGAGGCUCAUGGAUACGUGAGGCGGGUAAUGAUGCUCUUCGGUCGCCCCCAGAGUUCAGGGAAAGGAAGUUUACGAACCGCUUCCUGCAGGUUCUGCCUGUCACCAGGUCCCGUGAAAGCUGGCGGCAGAGAGAUCCAGCUAUAACCACGACAUGGCCCAGCACGGUAAGGGGGUGGGGUGGGGUGUCAAGAGUCUGGAAGGAAACAUCUGUCCCUACAGCCUGGCCAACCCUGGGACACAGAGUGCCUGGGGCCACCUCUCUAUGUGGUUUCCCAGCAAGGCGGGCAGUGCCCCCUGCUCACCUGACAGCGUGGAGCUGCUGAUGGUGCUGGCCGGCGUGGUGACCUCGGGCUCCUCCGGGGCACCCUCUUCCGGAGGAAGGACCGGCUUCUCGGGCUCCUCGCGGGGGUCCCCGGGGCAGGGGGUGACCCCGCCUCGUUCCCCUUCUGUGGAGAUAGCCAGCUUGGGAAGCAGGCCAGAGCCGAGCUUCUGUCUGUUGCUUUCGGUAUCUGAAGAGUUGGACGUUGACAGCUGGUGCCUUCAGCGGAAACAAGAACAAAGUCACUCGCUGACACCAGGAUGCUGUGUUAGGAGCAUACGCGAGAAGUGACGCUGGGGAAUGAAUUCUGCCUUCUGUCUCAGCAAACUGUUCCAGUCCAAAGAGCGGAAGAAGCGGUGCUGCUUGACCUCAUAGGCACCACCUGGAAAGGAAGGCAGAGAUGACAGUGUGAACUAUCCUCCAAGCAGAGGGAAGCGCGGUCUGAGGAACAACUUAAGCUGUUUGGCAGCAUAAAUACAGACAUCGUGGAAGUAACACCUGAAAAAAACAUUCUACAACCAAACCUCCAAAAAGAGUAAUUUCCAUAAUUUAUCAGCAGGCGAUCUGGUUUUGCUAACAGCAGUUGCUCUGGCAUAGUGUUUUUCUUUGUUAAUUUUCCAUGACUCCCUCCAUUUUUCAAAGGUUAAUGGUGUGCUGUCAGGAGCCAUAGAGCAAAAGCCUCUCCAUUUUGCCUGAGCCUGCCCAUAAGCUGACUCAUUACUCAGAAAGCUGGUCCAUCCAGCUUUCUAUUAGGUACUUCUGG
This is a long non-coding RNA of Jaculus jaculus (lesser Egyptian jerboa), 1299 nucleotides long. RefSeq lists it as uncharacterized. NCBI's taxonomy places the organism in Eukaryota, Metazoa, Chordata, Mammalia, Rodentia, Dipodidae. The transcript has 4 exons. The record is from RefSeq and is a predicted model, not a curated record.